ACCGGCGGACGGGUGCGUAACGCGUAUGCAACUUACCCACUACAGGGGGAUAGCCCGUGGAAACAUGGAUUAAUACCCCAUAAUACAGGGGGCCCGCAUGGGUCUAUUUGUUAAAGAUUUAUCGGUAGUGGAUGGGCAUGCGUCUGAUUAGCUAGUUGGUAGUGUAAUGGACUACCAAGGCGACGAUCAGUAGGGGUUCUGAGAGGAUGAUCCCCCACACUGGCACUGAGAUACGGGCCAGACUCCUACGGGAGGCAGCAGUAGGGAAUAUUGGUCAAUGGGCGAGAGCCUGAACCAGCCAUGCCGCGUGCAGGAAGACGGCCUUCUGGGUUGUAAACUGCUUUUAUCAAGGAAGAAAAGGGCCCUGCGGGGCACAUUGACUGUAUUUGAUGAAUAAGCACCGGCUAACUACGUGCCAGCAGCCGCGGUAAUACGUAGGGUGCAAGCGUUGUCCGGAUUUAUUGGGUUUAAAGGGUGCGUAGGCGGCCCAGUAAGUCAGUGGUGAAAUCCUGCAGCUCAACUGUAGAUGUGCCAUUGAUACUGUUGGGCUUGAGUACAGACGAGGUAGGCGGAAUUUAUGGUGUAGCGGUGAAAUGCAUAGAUACCAUAAAGAACACCGAUAGAGAAGUCAGCUUACUAGGCUGUAACUGACGCUGAGGCACGAAAGCGUGGGGAUCGAACAGGAUUAGAUACCCUGGUAGUCCACGCCGUAAACGAUGUUCACUCGCUGUUGGCGAUACACAGUCAGCGGCCAAGCGAAAGCGUUAA
RNAcentral lists this ribosomal RNA (768 nucleotides) under uncultured bacterium. RNAcentral describes it as "bacterial SSU rRNA". It matches the Rfam family "Bacterial small subunit ribosomal RNA", at positions 94 to 863 of the family's 1533-position model. The record is from RNAcentral.